GACGAACGCUGGCGGCGUGCUUAACACAUGCAAGUCGAACGGAAAGGCCCUUCGGGGUACUCGAGUGGCGAACGGGUGAGAAACACGUGGGUGAUCUGCCCUGCACUUUGGGAUAAGCCUGGGAAACUGGGUCUAAUACCGAAUAGGACCACGCGCUUCAUGGUGUGUGGUGGAAAGCUUUUGCGGUGUGGGAUGGGCCCGCGGCCUAUCAGCUUGUUGGUGGGGUAAUGGCCUACCAAGGCGAUGACGGGUAGCCGGCCUGAGAGGGUGACCGGCCACACUGGGACUGAGAUACGGCCCAGACUCCUACGGGAGGCAGCAGUGGGGAAUAUUGCACAAUGGGCGCAAGCCUGAUGCAGCGACGCCGCGUGAGGGAUGACGGCCUUCGGGUUGUAAACCUCUUUCAAUAGGGACGAAGCGCAAGUGACGGUACCUAUAGAAGAAGCACCGGCCAACUACGUG
This 462-nucleotide ribosomal RNA is filed under the name uncultured bacterium. Its description in RNAcentral is "partial 16S ribosomal RNA". It matches the Rfam family "Bacterial small subunit ribosomal RNA", at positions 28 to 507 of the family's 1533-position model. The record is from RNAcentral.